Molecule: ribosomal RNA, 253 nt
Filed under: uncultured bacterium
Lineage: Bacteria
Description: partial 16S ribosomal RNA
Rfam family: Bacterial small subunit ribosomal RNA
Source: RNAcentral
UACGGAGGGUGCAAGCGUUGUCCGGAUUUAUUGGGUUUAAAGGGUGCGUAGGUGGCAGAGUAAGUCUGGUUUGAAAGCUGGUCGCUUAACGAUCAGAUGUGGCUGGAAACUGCUUUGCUUGAAUGGGUUGGCGGUAGCUGGAACGGGUCAUGUAGCGGUGAAAUGCAUAGAUAUGACCCAGAACCCCGAUUGCGAAGGCAGGCUACUACGACUUGAUUGACACUGAGGCACGAGAGCAUGGGGAGCCAACAGG